Molecule: RNA transcript, 2393 nt
Organism: Magnolia sinica
Lineage: Eukaryota; Viridiplantae; Streptophyta; Magnoliopsida; Magnoliales; Magnoliaceae
Gene name: protein SHORT ROOT IN SALT MEDIUM 1-like
Exons: 5
Source: RefSeq, a predicted model, not a curated record
AAAGGUUCUCAUUCUACUGAGAAUGUAAGGCAGCUCCUCAGAAGAUUGGAUAGGUGGUCUGCCAUCCACAUGUACAGGAUGGCUAAUGAGAGUGCUGACUGUCUGGCGAAGUCAGUAAGUCUGUAUUAUGAAGAAUGGCUGGACAGUUUCCAAACAUUAUUUUGGGUUCUGUAAAAGUCUCCUGCUUGUACUUUUGCUACUAUUUUAUUUAUUUAUUUAUUUUUUAAAACAUUUGCAAUUUGAUUCGGUUGUGCAUCCAAACAAAGCUUAAAUAGAUAUAAAAUAUUGGUUUUAUUGAGCAGAAGUAAGGUCUAAGUCUUUGUGAUAUCACAAUAGAACCUCUUUUGGUUUGGGUCUUGGUUAUGUGAGAAAAGGGUUUUUCACUUUCACCUUUAUUGUAUGGGUAUGCUAUGGUAGGAUUUAAGCUAGCUUGUUGGUUAAAAUGGUAUUUGUUUUUAGCAUGUAGAUCAUUUGCAAGUGAGGAUUCUAUUUCAGGAGGAUUGACUAUAUUUAUUUUUGUAGUUGUAUGACUAAAUAUGCUGCAUUUUGAUGUUUCUAAGUAGCAUGUGUGCUUCUACAGAUUGGUCAUGCUGAUUAUGGUUCAGCUCUGGGAGAGUCUCCUAAGUUUGCAUCUGAUUAUGGUCAGUGUUAAACUUUUAGCCAUCUAUCUAAUUCUUUGUGCAAAUAUUACCAGGCAUCAUUGGCUCGACAGCAGCAAAUGUUGAAAGCUCAAUCAUUGCAAACUGGUUCUGAUAUGAGGCAUGCCAUGGCGGCUUCUGCUCUAGAUGGAAGUAAUAGGUUUACCCAUCCUGUUUGGUGGACGUUGAAAGGGACUACUUAGCCUUAAGCAGGCAGUAUCCAAAAUUAUCAAUAUCCCCGGGAUUCACCAAGAUUGUUCUGCACUGGCCAAAGGGAAACCUGAAUCUGUCAUUACACACUCCUGUCAGAUUUGAGCAUGACCUCAUUGAAGUAGAUGCUAGAGCGGAGCCAAAAGAGCCUUCUGCAGAGCCAUUGGCUGAGGAGCCAGCAAAUCCCAAAUGCAAAAGAACCGUAUGGAACGCAUAGGUGAAUCUUUGAGAGACUUGUCAUGUGCUAUAAAUAGUAGGUUACAUAAGAUAAAUAUAUACCGUAUCAAAAAUAUAGGUCAUGUACCAAUAAAAAUAUAAAUAAUAGGUCACAUGCUAAAAAUAAUUGAUUGUGGAAAUUUUAAGGCAGGCUCUCAUUGGCCACUUGCCAUAAAUAGCCAUGUAAUCUUUUGGAAGAGAACCAUCCUGGUGACUUAAUUACUUACAUGUCUUUCGUUUCAUUCUUAUUUUGUUUAUUGAUUAGACUUUUUAUCGGUCUUGUUCAUAUUUAUUAGAGAUCAAGGAGUUUUAUUUGUUUUUGUCUCUUAUGCAUUCAUGCAAAUUUGAUUAAUUUACAGUUUAUAGCUAAUCCAACAGUUCCAUCCAUGUUAAGUGAAAGGAAGUGACAAACCAUAGUCUAUGCAAAUUUUCUUUUCUUCACUUGUGUAUUCGUCCGAAUUUGGUUUGACUUCUAAAGUUUAUAGCUAAUAUGCACCAUUGGACGUUAAGUGCUUUAUGCUAGUUCCCUAUGAGUUAUGCUCAAUCGUUGUUAUUAGGUUUCUUGAUUAAAAUCAAGGAGUUUUAUUUCCCUAUGAAUGUGAGUACAUGUGUAGCUAUAAUCUUGGGCCUUUGAUUAAAUGUUGUGUUUUACCAUGUAUGUCACAAUCCAUGGAAAUAGGGGAAUUGUUAGGGCAAAAUUCAAGUAUAACUUGCCACCCAAAUCAAUGGUACUUGUGUAAUUUCUGCUUGCAUAUUUAAUUCAAAUUUUCACUUUUUCAUUGGUUUGUCUGGAGAUUCAGUUUUUGAACUUUGUUUCUUUGUCUAUGCAGAGAAAUAAGGCGUGGGUUUUCAUUCACCCCAACAAUAUAUGAGGUAAUGCUUCGAUCUUUUGGAAUGGUUUUCUUUGAUUUUUUCUUUUUUUAAUAAUAGAGUAUAAUUAAAUUGAGAGUUGUUGUAGAUGCUAAUAGAUUCUCAAGUUUUUAAAUCUGUUCCUUUACUACUAUUAUUGUGAUCAUUAUGUAGAAGAUUCUUGCUUAGAUUCUCAACACAUCUUAGAUACCAUCAAUUUCAUCCAUGUCACCUAAAGCAGAUCAAUGAAAGAAUGAUAAAUCGAUCCAAUGGGCUGAGGAAUAAAUGAUAUGUGCAUUUUAAUCAAUUGUGCCUGAAUUUAGGCUUACAAGCACUUUAGCCUUUUGACGCCACUCGUGCUAUGAGUAGAACAUAUAGAGGAUUUCUUUUUAUUUAUUUAUUCGAGACCAUUUUAAUUUAUUGUAAUAAAUAUUAUAUUUUUUUAAUUGUGAAGUAAUAUAAAUUUUGUUUAAUAUUCAA